Molecule: ribosomal RNA, 1450 nt
Filed under: Streptococcus sp. SO4
Lineage: Bacteria; Bacillati; Bacillota; Bacilli; Lactobacillales; Streptococcaceae
Description: partial 23S ribosomal RNA
Rfam family: Bacterial large subunit ribosomal RNA
Source: RNAcentral
AUUAGUAUCAUGUCGUAGACCCGAAACCAUGUGACCUACCCAUGAGCAGGUUGAAGGUGCGGUAAGACGCACUGGAGGACCGAACCAGGGCACGUUGAAAAGUGCUUGGAUGACUUGUGGGUAGCGGAGAAAUUCCAAACGAACUUGGAGAUAGCUGGUUCUCUCCGAAAUAGCUUUAGGGCUAGCGUCGACAUUAGAGAUUCUUGGAGGUAGAGCACUGUUUGGGUGAGGGGUCCAUCCCGGAUUACCAAUCUCAGAUAAACUCCGAAUGCCAAUGAAUUAUGGUCGGCAGUCAGACUGCGAGUGCUAAGAUCCGUAGUCGAAAGGGAAACAGCCCAGACCACCAGCUAAGGUCCCAAAAUAAUUGUUAAGUGGAAAAGGAUGUGGGGUUGCACAGACAACUAGGAUGUUAGCUUAGAAGCAGCUAUUCAUUCAAAGAGUGCGUAAUAGCUCACUAGUCGAGUGACCCUGCGCCGAAAAUGUACCGGGGCUAAAACAAUUUACCGAAGCUGUGGAUACCUUUAUAGGUAUGGUAGGAGAGCGUUCUAUGUGUGAAGAAGGUGUACCGUGAGGAGUGCUGGAACGCAUAGAAGUGAGAAUGCCGGUAUGAGUAGCGAAAGACAGGUGAGAAUCCUGUCCACCGUAAGACUAAGGUUUCCAGGGGAAGGCUCGUCCGCCCUGGGUUAGUCGGGACCUAAGGAGAGACCGAAAGGUGUAUCCGAUGGACAACAGGUUGAUAUUCCUGUACUAGAGUAUGUAGUGAUGGAGGGACGCAGUAGGCUAACUAAAGCAGACGAUUGGAAGAGUCUGUCUAAGCAGUGAGGUGUGAAUUGAGUUAAAUGCUUAAUUCUAUAACAUUGAGCUGUGAUGGGGAGCGAAGUUUAGUAGCGAAGUUAGUGACGUCACACUGCCAAGAAAAGCUUCUAGCGUUUAAACAUACUCUACCCGUACCGCAAACCGACACAGGUAGUCGAGGCGAGUAGCCUCAGGUGAGCGAGAGAACUCUCGUUAAGGAACUCGGCAAAAUGACCCCGUAACUUCGGGAGAAGGGGUGCUGACUUUAAGUCAGCCGCAGUGAAUAGGCCCAAGCAACUGUUUAUCAAAAACACAGCUCUCUGCUAAAUCGUAAGAUGAUGUAUAGGGGGUGACGCCUGCCCGGUGCUGGAAGGUUAAGAGGAGUGCUUAGCGUAAGCGAAGGUAUGAAUUGAAGCCCCAGUAAACGGCGGCCGUAACUAUAACGGUCCUAAGGUAGCGAAAUUCCUUGUCGGGUAAGUUCCGACCCGCACGAAAGGCGUAAUGAUUUGGGCACUGUCUCAACGAGAGACUCGGUGAAAUUUUAGUACCUGUGAAGAUGCAGGUUACCCGCGACAGGACGGAAAGACCCCAUGGAGCUUUACUGCAGUUUGAUAUUGAGUGUCUGUACCACAUGUACAGGAUAGGUAGGAGUCUA